RNAcentral lists this ribosomal RNA (1007 nucleotides) under Bacteroides sp. HMSC067B03. Its description in RNAcentral is "bacterial SSU rRNA". It matches the Rfam family "Bacterial small subunit ribosomal RNA", at positions 1 to 998 of the family's 1533-position model. Lineage: Bacteria; Pseudomonadati; Bacteroidota; Bacteroidia; Bacteroidales; Bacteroidaceae. The record is from RNAcentral.
CUUUUACAAUGAAGAGUUUGAUCCUGGCUCAGGAUGAACGCUAGCUACAGGCUUAACACAUGCAAGUCGAGGGGCAUCAUGCUUAUAGCAAUAUAAGUGAUGGCGACCGGCGCACGGGUGAGUAACACGUAUCCAACCUGCCGAUAACUCGGGGAUAGCCUUUCGAAAGAAAGAUUAAUACCCGAUGGCAUAAUAGAACCGCAUGGUUUGAUUAUUAAAGAAUUUCGGUUAUCGAUGGGGAUGCGUUCCAUUAGGCAGUUGGUGGGGUAACGGCCCACCAAACCUUCGAUGGAUAGGGGUUCUGAGAGGAAGGUCCCCCACAUUGGAACUGAGACACGGUCCAAACUCCUACGGGAGGCAGCAGUGAGGAAUAUUGGUCAAUGGACGAGAGUCUGAACCAGCCAAGUAGCGUGAAGGAUGACUGCCCUAUGGGUUGUAAACUUCUUUUAUAUGGGAAUAAAGUGGUCCACGUGUGGAUUUUUGUAUGUACCAUAUGAAUAAGGAUCGGCUAACUCCGUGCCAGCAGCCGCGGUAAUACGGAGGAUCCGAGCGUUAUCCGGAUUUAUUGGGUUUAAAGGGAGCGUAGGUGGACAGUUAAGUCAGUUGUGAAAGUUUGCGGCUCAACCGUAAAAUUGCAGUUGAUACUGGCUGUCUUGAGUACAGUAGAGGUGGGCGGAAUUCGUGGUGUAGCGGUGAAAUGCUUAGAUAUCACGAAGAACUCCGAUUGCGAAGGCAGCUCACUGGACUGCAACUGACACUGAUGCUCGAAAGUGUGGGUAUCAAACAGGAUUAGAUACCCUGGUAGUCCACACAGUAAACGAUGAAUACUCGCUGUUUGCGAUAUACAGUAAGCGGCCAAGCGAAAGCAUUAAGUAUUCCACCUGGGGAGUACGCCGGCAACGGUGAAACUCAAAGGAAUUGACGGGGGCCCGCACAAGCGGAGGAACAUGUGGUUUAAUUCGAUGAUACGCGAGGAACCUUACCCGGGCUUAAAUUGCAUUUGAAUA